GAUGAACGCUAGCUACAGGCUUAACACAUGCAAGUCGAGGGGUAACAUUGGCGGAGCUUGCUCUGCCAGAUGACGACCGGCGCACGGGUGAGUAACGCGUAUCCAACCUGCCCAUGGGUCAGGAAUAACCUUCCGAAAGGGAGCCUAAUACCUGAUGUUGUGAGAAGAAGGCCUCUGAUUUUCACGAAAGACUUCGGUCGCCGAUGGAUGGGGAUGCAUACGAUUAGGCAGCAGGCGGGGUAACGGCCCACCUGGCCAACGAUCGUUAGGGGUUCUGAGAGGAAGGUCCCCCACAUUGGAACUGAGACACGGUCCAAACUCC
Molecule: ribosomal RNA, 322 nt
Filed under: uncultured Prevotella sp.
Lineage: Bacteria; Pseudomonadati; Bacteroidota; Bacteroidia; Bacteroidales; Prevotellaceae
Description: bacterial SSU rRNA
Rfam family: Bacterial small subunit ribosomal RNA
Source: RNAcentral